RNAcentral lists this ribosomal RNA (474 nucleotides) under uncultured bacterium. RNAcentral's name for it is "bacterial SSU rRNA". It matches the Rfam family "Bacterial small subunit ribosomal RNA", at positions 15 to 507 of the family's 1533-position model. The record is from RNAcentral.
GAUCAUGGCUCAGGAUGAACGCUGGCGGCGUGCCUAAUACAUGCAAGUCGAGCGGAGAAUUUAGCAAUAGAUUCUUAGCGGCGAACGGGUGAGUAACGCGUUGGUGACCUGCCUCGAAGUUUGGGAUAACAGUUCGAAAGGACUGCUAAUACCGGAUGUGAUCGCGGAGAUUAGAGGCUCUGUGAUUAAAGGAGAAAUUCGCUUCGAGAGGGGCCUGCGUCCCAUCAGCUAGUUGGUAAGGUAAAGGCUUACCAAGGCGAUGACGGGUAGAGGACCUGAGAGGGUGGCCCCCCACAAUGGAACUGAAACACGGUCCAUACACCUACGGGUGGCAGCAGUAGGGAAUAUUGCAUAAUGGGCGAAAGCCUGAUGCAGCAACGCCGCGUGUGCGAUGAAGGCCUUCGGGUCGUAAAGCACUUUUGGAGGGGAUGAGGAAGGACAGUACCCUUCGAAUAAGCUUCGGCUAACUACGUG